GACGAACGCUGGCGGCGUGCUUAACACAUGCAAGUCGAACGGAAAGGCCCUGCUUUUGUGGGGUGCUCGAGUGGCGAACGGGUGAGUAACACGUGAGUAACCUGCCCUUGACUUUGGGAUAACUUCAGGAAACUGGGGCUAAUACCGGAUAGGAGCUCCUGCUGCAUGGUGGGGGUUGGAAAGUUUCGGCGGUUGGGGAUGGACUCGCGGCUUAUCAGCUUGUUGGUGGGGUAGUGGCUUACCAAGGCUUUGACGGGUAGCCGGCCUGAGAGGGUGACCGGCCACAUUGGGACUGAGAUACGGCCCAGACUCCUACGGGAGGCAGCAGUGGGGAAUAUUGCACAAUGGGCGGAAGCCUGAUGCAGCAACGCCGCGUGCGGGAUGACGGCCUUCGGGUUGUAAACCGCCUUCGCCUAUGACGAAGCGUGAGUGACGGUAAUGGGUAAAGAAGCACCGGCUAACUACGUG
Molecule: ribosomal RNA, 468 nt
Filed under: uncultured bacterium
Lineage: Bacteria
Description: partial 16S ribosomal RNA
Rfam family: Bacterial small subunit ribosomal RNA
Source: RNAcentral